CCUACGGGUGGCAGCAGUGGGGAAUAUUGGACAAUGGGCGAAAGCCUGAUCCAGCCAUGCCGCGUGUGUGAAGAAGGCCUUCGGGUUGUAAAGCACUUUCAGUGGGGAAGAAAGCCUUGGGGCUAAUACCCUCGAGGAAGGACAUCACCCACAGAAGAAGCACCGGCUAACUCCGUGCCAGCAGCCGCGGUAAUACGGAGGGUGUGAGCGUUAAUCGGAAUUACUGGGCGUAAAGCGCGCGUAGGCGGUCUGAUAAGCCGGUUGUGAAAGCCCCGGGCUCAACCUGGGAACGGCAUCCGGAACUGUCAGGCUAGAGUGCAGGAGAGGAAGGUAGAAUUCCCGGUGUAGCGGUGAAAUGCGUAGAGAUCGGGAGGAAUACCAGUGGCGAAGGCGGCCUUCUGGACUGACACUGACGCUGAGGUGCGAAAGCGUGGGUAGCCAACAGGAUUAGAUACCCCUGUAGUC
Molecule: ribosomal RNA, 465 nt
Filed under: Vreelandella stevensii
Lineage: Bacteria; Pseudomonadati; Pseudomonadota; Gammaproteobacteria; Oceanospirillales; Halomonadaceae
Description: partial 16S ribosomal RNA
Rfam family: Bacterial small subunit ribosomal RNA
Source: RNAcentral